GCUGGGCUUUGUGGUGAGGCCUGUAGUCCCAGCUACUUGGGAGGCUGAGGCAGGAGGAUCACUUGAGCCCAGGAGGUCAAGGCUGCAGUGAGCCAAGAUUGCACCACUCCACUUUUGCCUGGGCAACAAAGUGAGACCUUGAUUUUA
Gorilla gorilla gorilla (western lowland gorilla) is the source of this 147-nucleotide non-coding RNA. It matches the Rfam family "Metazoan signal recognition particle RNA". From Rfam's summary of the family: The signal recognition particle (SRP) is a universally conserved ribonucleoprotein. It is involved in the co-translational targeting of proteins to membranes. The record is from Rfam. Lineage: Eukaryota; Metazoa; Chordata; Mammalia; Primates; Hominidae.